AUAGCACAGAAAGCAUGGACCCUACUCAGAUCAAGACUGCAAUCGUGGACGUUGUAAACACCUCGCGCAUUCUCGUGCAGUCUAUGCUGAACCAGGACCUGCA
This is a non-coding RNA of Chelonoidis abingdonii (Abingdon island giant tortoise), 103 nucleotides long. The record is from RefSeq and is a predicted model, not a curated record. Lineage: Eukaryota; Metazoa; Chordata; Testudines; Testudinidae.